Molecule: ribosomal RNA, 253 nt
Filed under: uncultured prokaryote
Description: partial 16S ribosomal RNA
Rfam family: Bacterial small subunit ribosomal RNA
Source: RNAcentral
ACAGAGGGGGCAAGCGUUGUUCGGAAUUACUGGGCGUAAAGGGCGCGUAGGCGGCCUGCUAAGUCGAACGUGAAAUCCCUGGGCUCAACCCAGGAACUGCGUCCGAUACUGGUUGGCUUGAAUCCGGGAGAGGGAUGUGGAAUUCCAGGUGUAGCGGUGAAAUGCGUAGAUAUGCGGAGGAACACCGAUGGCGAAGGCAAUCCCCUGGGCCUGCACUGACGCUCAUGCACGAAAGCGUGGGGAGCAAACAGGA